UCUUGCCUGGAAAAUUCCAUGGACAGAGGAGCCAGGCAGGCUGCAGUCCAUGGGGUCGCAAGGAGUCAGGUGGGCUUCAGUUCAUGGGGUCACAAAGAGUGGGACACGACUGAGCACUCCAGACAGUCUGGAGUGUCCAGAAGUUUGCAUUGCUCUCCUAGUGGCAGGGCCAGGGCUCAGCUGGUUCCAGAGUAGUGUCCGGCCUGUAAUGCAGGAUUACGGCUUUCUGCUUAUAGUGUCUGCUCCUUUGGGGUUCAGAAGUUAAUUAAAGCUUCUUAGAGGGAGCGGGCAGUGCAGGUGCAGGGGUGGGUAGAGCUGGGUCUCUGCCCUCAGGUGGGCUGGCCUUUCCUGGAGGCAUGUCCAAAGGCAGCCGUGGCUCUUUAGUGGUUAGGCAGCCUGUGGGCUGAUGGGAAGGCCUGUGUCCCAUCCCAGCUAGUUGGCUUGUGGGUGUUGGCUGAAGCCAGGUCUCAGGGUUAGCGAGGCAAGAUAUCAGCCGUUGCAGGGCCCUGUGGCUGAACGCUCCCCAAUAUGUGUCUCCAUCCCCAUGGUGACCUGCAGCCACCCCUCGCUUCUCCAGGAGAGGCUCCAAGACCAGCAGGAUUGACUGGACUGGACCACCAGGGAAGUCCAAGUUAUAUAUUUUUAUAACUUCUCUGUCUGGCACAUGUGGAUGAAGACUGACCCCUGCCAUACCAGUAAACAAAUGGUGUUGCAGCCAUCAAGCCAUCAGCCACUGCAGCAGCCUCUACUGUGCCCCUGAGGGGCUUCAGGAUGGAGAAAAGCAGGAUCCUGGCCCUAUAUAGUUAAGGAGCACAUCAAAGUGUCAUUGCCAGACAAGCAGCCAGUGUUUCCUUAUUGAUCUAAAUCAAGUCCAGAAUGGCAGUUCUUGCUGCUUCCUCUACCAGCUGAGCAGGGAACUGUCAGCAAGGCAAGCCAAGAAUUUAUCAGCUGUAAUUCUC
Long non-coding RNA from Bubalus bubalis (water buffalo), 959 nucleotides. RefSeq lists it as uncharacterized. The record is from RefSeq and is a predicted model, not a curated record. The transcript is spliced from 3 exons. NCBI's taxonomy places the organism in Eukaryota, Metazoa, Chordata, Mammalia, Artiodactyla, Bovidae.